UGGUAAGACCAAGGUUCUAUAAAUCUGAAGUCAGAGUGUCAGCGGGCGUGUUCCAGCUACAUGGACUGUGUGAUCUUGUAAAAGCUUUCGUCUCUGUCCACAACAGAGACCCAGCAAGGGCUGCAGAAGCAUGUUCCAGAUUCAAGCACCACCAGGCCCCACUUGGGUCAGGCAGGUGAGGGAAGCAGGCUGACUCGUGGGAAGCAGACACAAAUCGCAUGUUCUGUGAGGGCAGGAAGUGACGAACUAUUGCCAAGUCAUUGGUGCCAAAGGAUUAAAGAUCCCAGACUGCCAGACUUUCUGGUUACACAAAGAAACCAGAAAUCUAGGUUUAUGAAAAACUUCCUGAUCUUUAAGAGCUGGCAACCAGUACGAAACCAGUACAAAACUUGUCAGAACACUACGAUGGCCAAAACAAUACAUCUGCAGGCCCAAGAGAGGCCACCAGCCUCCAGUCUGCAGCUGUAAUAAAGUGGAAAGAGCAUGGAUUUUGUAAUCAACUAAA
Molecule: long non-coding RNA, 505 nt
Organism: Chinchilla lanigera (long-tailed chinchilla)
Lineage: Eukaryota; Metazoa; Chordata; Mammalia; Rodentia; Chinchillidae
Exons: 2
Source: RefSeq, a predicted model, not a curated record